RNAcentral lists this ribosomal RNA (500 nucleotides) under uncultured bacterium. Its description in RNAcentral is "partial 16S ribosomal RNA". It matches the Rfam family "Bacterial small subunit ribosomal RNA", at positions 28 to 507 of the family's 1533-position model. The record is from RNAcentral.
GACGAACGCUGGCGGCGUGCCUAAUACAUGCAAGUCGAGCGGACUGAUUAAGAGCUUGCUCUUAUGACGUUAGCGGCGGACGGGUGAGUAACACGUGGGCAACCUGCCCUGUAGAUCGGGAUAACACCGAGAAAUCGGUGCUAAUACCGGGUAAUAUCUGAGAUCACAUGAUCUUAGGUUAAAAGAUGGCUCCGGCUAUCACUACAGGAUGUGCCCGCGGCGCAUUAGCUAGUUGGUAAGGUAAUGGCUUACCAAGGCGACGAUGCGUAGCCGACCUGAGAGGGGGAGCGGCCACAAGGGGACUGAGACACGGCCCAGACUCCUACGGGAGGCAGCAGUAGGGAAUCUUCCGCAAUGGACGAAAGUCUGACGGAGCAAAGCCGCGUGAGUGAUGAAGGGUUUCGGCGCGUAAAGCUCUGUUGUUAGGGAAGAAACAGUAACGAACGAACUAGGUCGGUACCUUGACGGUACCUAAACAGAAAGCCACGGCUAACUACGUG